AUUGAACGCUGGCGGAAUGCUUUACACAUGCAAGUCGAACGGCAGCACGGGGGCAACCCUGGUGGCGAGUGGCGAACGGGUGAGUAAUACAUCGGAACGUGCCCAGUCGUGGGGGAUAACGUAGCGAAAGUUACGCUAAUACCGCAUACGAUCUACGGAUGAAAGCGGGGGACCGUAAGGCCUCGCGCGAUUGGAGCGGCCGAUGUCAGAUUAGGUAGUUGGUGAGGUAAAGGCUCACCAAGCCGACGAUCUGUAGCUGGUCUGAGAGGACGAACAGCCACACUGGGACUGAGACACGGCCCAGACUCCGACGGGAGGCAGCAGUGGGGAAGUUUGGACAAUGGGCGCAAGCCUGAUCCAGCCAUUCCGCGUGCAGGACGAAGGCCUUCGGGUUGUAAACUGCUUUUGUACGGAACGAAAAGGCUCUGGUUAAUACCUGGGGCUCAUGACGGUACCGUAAGAAUAAGCACCGGCUAACUACGUGCCAGCAGCCGCAGUAA
RNAcentral lists this ribosomal RNA (500 nucleotides) under uncultured bacterium. Its description in RNAcentral is "partial 16S ribosomal RNA". It matches the Rfam family "Bacterial small subunit ribosomal RNA", at positions 29 to 523 of the family's 1533-position model. The record is from RNAcentral.